RNAcentral lists this ribosomal RNA (242 nucleotides) under uncultured bacterium. Its description in RNAcentral is "partial 16S ribosomal RNA". It matches the Rfam family "Bacterial small subunit ribosomal RNA", at positions 355 to 614 of the family's 1533-position model. The record is from RNAcentral.
UGGGGAAUAUUGCACAAUGGGCGAAAGCCUGAUGCAGCAACGCCGCGUGAGUGAUGAAGGUCUUCGGAUUGUAAAGCUCUGUCUUUUGGGACGAUAAUGACGGUACCAAAGGAGGAAGCCACGGCUAACUACGUGCCAGCAGCCGCGGUAAUACNUAGGUGGCGAGCGUUGUCCGGAUUUACUGGGCGUAAAGGGUGCGUAGGCGGAUGUUUAAGUGAGAUGUGAAAUACCCGGGCUUAACU